GAAUUCCGGGUUCGAAGCCCGGCAGCGGAAUAAACCUUUUUUUGGUUGUAUUUUAAAACAGAAUACGCUAAUUUUUUGAAUAAAAUCGACUAUUCCGGUUUAAAAACGGUAAACCGAACUUAUACCAAAAGGAGAAGCAUGUUGGUUGGUUGAAGUCAGGGAUGGUAGAUAAUUGAGUCGGCUGAUUAUCAACGACGGGGGAGGACUUUGGGGUUCAUCGAUUGCUUCCAUGGAGAUUCCUAAAAUCUCAAAGCUUGACAAGCGAAUCGCCGAGCCGAGGAUGAAGAAGAAGAGAAUGAAACUUGAAUCGAUCACAUCUCUUAACAAUCUCGAUGAUGGUUGCCUCAUGCACAUCCUCAGCUUCCUCUCUCCAAUUCCUGAUAGGUAUAACACAGCACUCGUUUGCCACAGAUGGAGAUAUCUGGCUUGUCACCCUCGCUUGUGGCUACGAGUCGACCCUUUCGUGAAGGAUUUAUCCCUCCCUGGAGUUUUCCACAGCAUUGAAUCAGCUGUGUCUGCUGCCAGACCUGGCGAUACCAUUUUAAUUGGAGCUGGUGGGAAUCAUCAUGUCUCUAAUAUUCAGAUUAAAAAGCCUCUUUGCCUGGUAUGUGUCUAUUAGUCUAAUUGCUUGAUACCUCAUGGAAGUUUUUGCCUUUCCAUAAAUUAGUUUUCGCACGUUUCUUCCAUGGAUAAGAAACUAUGUUUUACAUCUUCAACAGUUUCACAAAAAAAAUAGUAAAUAAUAUAUGGAAGUGUUUAUACCAGCGUCUCUGUAAAGUAAAUAUAAUUUUUAUAUAAUAGCCGACCUAUCUAUUCUGAUGAGAGGAUGGAGAUCCACUCCAUGUUGUAGCUCUUGGUAUGAGAGAUCAAUAUGCAUUGAAAAGAUCCAAAACAGAACAAUCCCACAUUUUAGGUAGCUUAUACUGUCAUACAAUUAUAUUCCCUAUGCCCUAGCUGUUUGCCAGUUUGUAAAUUCUUUUCAGUGUUGCUUCUGAAGUCAACAUGAGAACUAAAGAAUGUUAAAAACUUAAAAAACAUGAGAACUAAAGUUCCUUGACCGUGGUGAGGACUCGAAGAAAAAGAAAAUAUUCAGUCUGGCUUCAAAGUCUGAGAAAAUUUUGGGAUUCUUUUGAGUCUUCAAGCCAUUGAUUAAUGGAUUCUCCCACAUAGUAGUCCUCAUUUUCUCAUAUUGGGCAACAUAUAGGAAGAUGGUAAGCGUGUAACGGAAAAAAAUUGAAAGUAUAGCAUGAUUUAGGAUGAAUAGAUGGAGUUACAGAAUAUGGAUGGUAGUUAUUUAAUCAGUACUGUAUUGAUGCACGUACAUUAGAAUGUCAGCGGUUGCCUUAUUAGUGACCUCCUUAGUUGCAGUAAAGUGGAAGACUCAGUGUCUUGGGCUGAAAUAGUAUUCAACCUUCUUUUCUGAGAAAUGGGUGAUUGGUAGUGGCGAGAUUCCUGAUGAAACCACCCUUGUAUGUUCUAGAGGAUCAGACAGGUUUGGAGCUCAUAUUCCCUUUUAAGUCAUCUCUCUCACUCUGCAGUUUUUUUCUUUUUAAAUACUUCAUUGGAGGUUUAGCGUCCUAGUAGUUACUGCUUAACGCAUUUAUGACAUCAUGUUAUAUGUCACCAUGCUAGUGUUUCUUUAUUUAUCACAAAGAAAGUUCUUUGGUAUACGGCUUUUUGUUGUUGGGUUUCUUUUGCAGUGCCCUGGAGUUGCUAUCAACCUGCAAGCUAGCGAAUCUAACAGUAAGAGCCGAGCUUGGCUGCUGCUUACUUCACAGGAGUGGAAGGCUAACUAUUGAUGGAUGUGUGCUUCAAUGUGAAACAAACCCUUUGGAUCAUCUCUCAUGCCCAAUCUUGAGUACUGCUGGAAGAGAUGAAGAAGAAGAUAACUUGAGCCUUGUGGAAGU
Molecule: RNA transcript, 1907 nt
Organism: Brassica rapa (field mustard)
Lineage: Eukaryota; Viridiplantae; Streptophyta; Magnoliopsida; Brassicales; Brassicaceae
Gene name: F-box protein SKIP5
Source: RefSeq, a predicted model, not a curated record